CAAUGGCAGGUACAGAGGGGUGCUACCGGGUGACCGGAUGCCGAUCUCGAAAACCUGUCCCAGUUCGGACUGGAGUCUGCAACCCGACUCCACGAAGUUGGAUUCGCUAGUAAUCGCGCAUCAGCCAUGGCGCGGUGAAUACGUUCCCGGGCCUUGUACACACCGCCCGUCAAGCCAUGGGAGCCGGGGGCGCCUGAAGUCCGGGACCGCGAGGACCGGCCUAGGGCGAAACUGGUGACUGGGGCUAAGUCGUAACAAGGUACC
Molecule: ribosomal RNA, 264 nt
Filed under: uncultured bacterium
Lineage: Bacteria
Description: partial 16S ribosomal RNA
Rfam family: Bacterial small subunit ribosomal RNA
Source: RNAcentral